GCAAUAUCAGUUGAUGGGAACAAUAAGCUUUGUGGAGGUAUAUCUGAACUUCGGUUGCCCAAAUGCACUCUAAAAGAGUCUAAGAAAAGGAAAAUGCCUCUGUCACUUGUGUUGUCAAUAUCAAUAACAUGUGCCAUUCUUGUAGUAAUUGCUGUGUCAUCUACCUUAUACUGCUGUCGGAGAAGGAGAAGAAAGAAAGAGCCCUCUUCAGAUACAUUGUUGCAGGAGCCAUUGCAAAGAGUUUCUUAUGGAAUGCUUCUUAAAGCGACUGAUGGAUUCUCUUCUUCUAAUUUAAUUGGAGUGGGAAGCUUCGGUUCUGUAUAUAAAGGAAUCCUUGGUCAAGAUGAGACAAUUGUUGCAAUCAAGGUACUUAACCUUCAACAUCCGGGAGCUUCUAAAAGCUUCAUGGCUGAGUGUGAAGCCUUGAGAAAUAUUCGUCACCGAAACCUAGUAAAGAUCAUAACCGUUUGCUCAAGCUCUGACUUCCAAGGAAAUGAUUUUAAGGCUCUGAUUUAUGAGUUCAUGUCCAAUGGAAGUUUGGAGAUGUGGUUACAUUCAAACCCACAAGCUGGUGAUCAGGGUAACGAAGCUAGGCAUCUAAAUCUUCUUCAAAGAAUAAACAUUGCCAUUGAUGUGGCAUCUGCACUUGAUUACCUGCAUCACCACUCCCAUCAGCCCAUUGUUCACUGU
Molecule: unclassified non-coding RNA, 690 nt
Filed under: Hevea brasiliensis (rubber tree)
Lineage: Eukaryota; Viridiplantae; Streptophyta; Magnoliopsida; Malpighiales; Euphorbiaceae
Source: RNAcentral